This 319-nucleotide ribosomal RNA is filed under the name uncultured eukaryote. RNAcentral describes it as "partial 18S ribosomal RNA". It matches the Rfam family "Eukaryotic small subunit ribosomal RNA", at positions 1470 to 1796 of the family's 1831-position model. The record is from RNAcentral.
CCCUUAGAUGUUCUGGGCCGCACGCGCGCUACAAUGGUCUUCGCAAACGGAUGCAUUCUCGAAGGAGAAUGCCAAUCUUGGAAUCUAUGCCUUGGUCGGGACAGUUGCUUGCAAUUUUUCGACUCGAACCAGGAAUUCCUUGUAAUCGUGAUUCAUCACAUCACGAUGAAUACGUCCCUGCCCUUUGUACACACCGCCCGUCGCUCCUACCGAUCGAAGAGUUAGGUGAAUUGUUUUGAUCGAUAAGAUUUGACUAUGGUCAACUCUCGUUGUGAAAUUCUGUGAAUCUGACUGUUGAGAGGAAGGAAAAGUCGUAACA